RNAcentral lists this ribosomal RNA (447 nucleotides) under uncultured bacterium. Its description in RNAcentral is "partial 16S ribosomal RNA". It matches the Rfam family "Bacterial small subunit ribosomal RNA", at positions 29 to 523 of the family's 1533-position model. The record is from RNAcentral.
AACGAACGCUGGCGGCAGGCCUAAUACAUGCAAGUCGAACGCACCGCAAGGUGAGUGGCAGACGGGUGAGUAACGCGUGGGAACCUUCCUAGUAGUACGGAAUAACUUCGGGAAACCAAAGCUAAUACCGUAUACGCCCUUCGGGGGAAAGAUUUAUCGCUAUUAGAUGGGCCCGCGUAGGAUUAGCUAGUUGGUGAGGUAAUGGCUCACCAAGGCUACGAUCCUUAGCUGGUCUGAGAGGAUGAUCAGCCACACUGGGACUGAGACACGGCCCAGACUCCUACGGGAGGCAGCAGUAGGGAAUAUUGGAAAAUGGGCGAAAGCCUGAUCCAGCCAUGCCGCGUGAGUGAAGAAGGCCUUAGGGUUGUAAAGCUCUUUUGGCGGGGAAGAUAAUGACGGUACCGUAAGAAUAAGCACCGGCUAACUACGUGCCAGCCGCCGCUGUAA